GCCGGCAGCUAGCUUUUUGCAACUUUCACAUGGUUGCCCACUGAAGCUAAACAGGGCUGCGCCCGGUCAGUACCUUUAUGGGAGACCACAUGGGAAAGCUAUAGGUUGCUGCCGGAC
Ribosomal RNA from Danio rerio (zebrafish), 117 nucleotides. Lineage: Eukaryota; Metazoa; Chordata; Actinopteri; Cypriniformes; Danionidae. The record is from Ensembl.